This is a long non-coding RNA of Setaria italica (foxtail millet), 721 nucleotides long. RefSeq lists it as uncharacterized. The record is from RefSeq and is a predicted model, not a curated record. Lineage: Eukaryota; Viridiplantae; Streptophyta; Magnoliopsida; Poales; Poaceae. The transcript has 2 exons.
AUUUGACCGUUAUGCCCUUUGUGGUCACGUGGCGCGCCGCGAGUGGCUGGCGGCAGCUUUCUGCCUCGCGCGUGCGCGCUCGUGCCGCUCGAAGAUCCUGGCGGUCGGGCGCCGGGGUCGGGGAAUGGACGGGCCGGAUGCGUUACACGUCAGCGAAUACGUGGCGCCGGGAGGGAUUUGGGGGAAGAACCUAUCCGGACUUGCUAGUCCGUACUCCGUAGUCGAUCCCGAUUGAAGAUCGAGGGAAUCACGAAACUGUUGAUCUUUACGAGCUUACCCCUUGCCGUGUCCUUCCUCUCCGAUUUUGACAGAGAAAACUGCUUCCUUUUCUUUCGUUUGGAAUUGGAAGGUGCUCCGGAGCUCCCCAUCUUCUCUAGGGAUCAACCUAAAUUCAGCUUCUUUGUGGAAGGAGUUUCACUUUGUCAGCCGCAUGGCACCGGAAUUGCGAUUGACUCUGUUGCUACAAGGUUGUGUUCUUGCCUUCUUGGGAAUCAGGAUAGCCCAGGACUACGCUUUUCUUCAAAUGGGAUGAAUUCAAAGCAACAAGGUGAAGACGUAUCACAAUCGUCAUCUGCUUCUUUGUUAUUAGAGUAUGCUAGCUAGGAGUAUGAUCUACAUUCAGUACAUGUUACACUGAACAUCUGUAUUCAUAUCAGUAACUUGGGCACAGCAUGGUUGCUGCAUUUACAUUUUGACACUAUUAUUCCUGUAAUCUUCUUUC